Non-coding RNA from Arachis ipaensis, 2776 nucleotides. Lineage: Eukaryota; Viridiplantae; Streptophyta; Magnoliopsida; Fabales; Fabaceae. The record is from RefSeq and is a predicted model, not a curated record.
CCAAUAAGAAGUUUGGGCUUGGCCCACAAUGUUGAUCGGCUUCGCUAGAAUGGGAUGAGGUUCGAUGAGGCAGCUGCAGCAACACCGGAUAACGAUGAAACGGCAUUGAAGGAGCACGACGACCAAAGUUACCAAACCGUUUUGAAGAAACUAUAAUCGGGAAGCCAAUGCCAUAACCAUACUAUCUGUAAUGGCAACGACGACGCUGUUCACCCUCCAUCUCUGUCGUUUUGGCCAAAGCUUCUCCAAAAAACUAUUCUCUACGUCCCCUUCUUCUGACACUCUUCUGAACCCUCACCACGUCACGUUCCACCACAAAUUACGCCGCCCAAACUCCUCCUCUGUCCCCGCUUUCUUCCGGCGCUUCUCAGCUGUCGCAGCUGCUUCCACUUCCGGAGAGGCGAAUUACGAUGGAAUUGGAACAGCUGAUGAAAAAUAUGAUGUGAUUGUGGUUGGAGGAGGGCACGCAGGUUGUGAAGCCGCACUUGCCUCUGCGCGUUUGGGUGCAAGAACUCUUCUUCUUACUCUCAACAUUGACCGUAUUGCCUGGCAGCCUUGCAAUCCAGCUGUUGGUGGACCUGCGAAGUCUCAAUUGGUUCACGAAGUGGAUGCGCUAGGUGGUGAAAUAGGGAAGAUUGCUGACAGAUGUUACUUGCAGAAGCGGGUGCUUAAUGUAUCCAGAGGACCUGCAGUUCGUGCAUUACGUGCUCAAACUGAUAAAAGGGAAUAUGCCAUGCAAAUGAAAAGUGUAGUAGAAAGCACACCAAACCUUUCAAUCAGAGAGGCUAUGGUCACAGAUAUAUUACUUGGGAAAAAUGAUAAUGUGGAAGGUGUUUGUACAUUUUUUGGGAUGAAAUUCUAUGCUCCAUCUGUUGUUCUCACAACAGGAACUUUUAUGAGUGGCAAAAUCUGGGUUGGUAGAACUUCCAUGCCUGCAGGAAGAGCUGGCGAGUCUGCUUCUCAUGGAUUAACUGAGAACUUACAGCGUCUUGGUUUUGAAACUGAUCGGCUGAAAACCGGAACCCCUGCCCGAGUGGACAUUCGUACUGUAGAUUUCUCAGGUUUAGAGCCUCAGCAUGGAGACAAAGAGGUCAGCUGGUUUAGUUUUGAUCCUGAUGUCCAUAUUGAAAGAGAACAGAUGUGCUGCUACCUAACCCGUACUACAGGUAGAACUCACCAGAUAAUAAGAGAUAACUUACAUGAAACACCAACUUAUGGAGGAUGGGUUGAAGCUAAAGGACCAAGAUAUUGUCCUUCCAUUGAAGAUAAGAUUGUAAGGUUCCAAGAUAAAGAGUCUCAUCAAAUAUUUCUUGAACCAGAGGGUCGCAGUGUGCCUGAGCUCUAUGUGCAGGGGUUCUCAACAGGUUUGCCAGAGAGAUUACAACUACCUUUGCUCAGAACUUUGCCUGGACUUGAGAACUGUUCAAUGUUGAGGCCUGCAUAUGCUGUAGAGUAUGAUUAUUUACCUGCUCAUCAAUGUGCUAGGUCUCUUAUGACAAAGAAAAUACAAGGAUUAUUCUUCUCUGGUCAGAUAAAUGGAACUACUGGCUAUGAGGAAGCUGCAGCACAGGGCAUAAUUUCUGGCAUCAAUGCGGCUAGAUAUGCUGAUGGUAAGCAACUCAUUGUCCUUGAAAGAGAGAGCAGCUAUAUAGGAACAUUAAUUGAUGACCUAGUUACCAAGGAUCUGCGAGAACCUUAUCGCAUGUUAACAAGCCGCUCAGAGCAUCGGUUACUCUUGAGAUCUGAUAAUGCUGAUAGCCGUCUCACCCCCUUGGCUCAUGAAAUUGGGUUGAUAGAUGAUAGACGGUGGAAACUGUACCAGGAGAAACAGGCUCGAAUUUCUGAGGAAAAGAAGCGAUUGAGAAGUGUCAGAAUUUCAGGGGGAGACUUGGCUGCUGAAGUUUCUCGAGUCUCCGGUCAGCCAGUGAGGGACUCUUCAACAUUGGAAAGUCUUCUUAAGAAACCACACAUGCAAUAUGGAAUUCUUGAUGAGCAUGGCUUUGGUAACAUAGAGUUAUCUAGAAUAGAGAAAGAAUGUGUUGAGAUCGAUAUUAAGUACGAAGGUUUCAUCUUGCGUCAGCAAAGCCAGCUUCAACAGAUGGUUACUCAACAGCAUAGACAACUUCCCGAAGACUUGGAUUACCAUAUGAUUACAACGUUAUCUAUUGAAGCACGGGAAAAGCUUUCCAAGGUUUGUGGCACAUAUAUUUGGACAAUAUAGCAGUUUGGAUAGAACAGAGCAGACUGAAAUGCAUCUUUGAAUCCACAAGUGCAAUCCACAAAUUUUUCAUAAUUAAACCAGAUAUUCAUGGGAUUAUCCGAAACCAGAAACAAACAAUCCAUAAAGUUAGGCCGCAAACCAUUGGUCAGGCAAGCAGAGUUGGUGGAGUGAGCCCUGCUGACAUUACUGCUCUACUAAUUGUGCUUGAAGCUAAUCGGAGGAAAGCUCAGGAACAAAGCAGGUACAAAAUAAUGAAUGCUAUGCGAGCAAAAGCCCUGGAGGAGGAGGUGCCUGAAGUUUCUUGCACCGAAACAGUCAGCUCUUGAUAAGUUACCUACCAUUCUAUCGAUUUUGAAAUCCUAGAUGAAUACACAAGGAAAGGAGAAAAAGUAAAAAGAAAUUUAUUGUUAUAAAUAUAUUUUUGUUGCCCAUUUGACAAUUUCUCUCCCCCAGUUGAUGUAAAAUUAAAAAUUGUAAGUGCAGAAAUAAAGUUAUUUAUCGUGGGCAUAAAUCUGUUAAUAAAAUAUGAUCUAAAGUAGCCAUAAAUUGUGGUAA